RNAcentral lists this ribosomal RNA (394 nucleotides) under uncultured bacterium. RNAcentral's name for it is "bacterial SSU rRNA". It matches the Rfam family "Bacterial small subunit ribosomal RNA", at positions 28 to 417 of the family's 1533-position model. The record is from RNAcentral.
GACGAACGCUGGCGGCGUGCUUAACACAUGCAAGUGGAGCGACGAACCGGGGGCUUGCCCCCGGGGCAGAGCCGCGAACGGGUGAGUAACACGUGGGUGACCUGCCUUUAGCUCUGGGAUAAGCCUGGGAAACUGGGUCUAAUACCGGAUAUGACUCCGCGGUGCACGCUGGUGGGGUGGAAAGCCUUGUGCGGCUGGAGAUGGGCCCGCGGCCUAUCAGCUUGUUGGUGGGGUGANGGCCUACCAAGGCGACGACGGGUAGCCGGCCUGAGAGGGCGACCGGCCACACGUGGGACUGAGACACGGCCCAGACUCCUACGGGAGGCAGCAGUGGGGAAUCUUGCGCAAUGGGCGAAAGCCUGACGCAGCGACGCCGCGUGAGGGAUGACGGCCU